RNAcentral lists this ribosomal RNA (477 nucleotides) under Candidatus Kuenenia stuttgartensis. RNAcentral describes it as "bacterial SSU rRNA". It matches the Rfam family "Bacterial small subunit ribosomal RNA", at positions 365 to 832 of the family's 1533-position model. Lineage: Bacteria; Pseudomonadati; Planctomycetota; Candidatus Brocadiia; Candidatus Brocadiales; Candidatus Brocadiaceae. The record is from RNAcentral.
UUCGCAAUGCCCGAAAGGGUGACGAAGCGACGCCGCGUGCGGGAAGAAGGCCCUCGGGUUGUAAACCGCUGUCGGGAGUUAAGAAAUGCAAGGGUGUUAACAGCAUCCUUGCUUGACUAAGGCUCCGGAGGAAGCCACGGCUAACUCUGUGCCAGCAGCCGCGGUAAUACAGAGGCGGCAAGCGUUGUUCGGAAUUAUUGGGCGUAAAGAGCACGUAGGCGGCUGUGUAAGUCGGUUGUGAAAGCCUUCCGCUUAACGGAAGAAUGCCAGCUGAUACUACAGGGCUUGAGUACGGGAGGGGAGAGUGGAACUUCUGGUGGAGCGGUGAAAUGCGUAGAUAUCAGAAGGAACGCCGGCGGCGAAAGCGACUCUCUGGCCCGAAACUGACGCUGAGUGUGCGAAAGCUAGGGGAGCAAACGGGAUUAGAUACCCCGGUAGUCCUAGCCGUAAACGAUGGGCACUAAGUAGAGGGGUUUU